CCACUUCCUUAAUUGCAUCACUUUAAAUUUAAUAUAGCUUUUAUUAUACAUUCAUAUUUUUUAAAGCUUUCAAAACCACUUUUCUAAGAAAAAAACCCCCCGAAAUUCCUUUCUUUUACUCCCCAAAAAUCCCCCUUUUCAGCUAGGAUUUCACAAACCCAUCAUCGCCGUCGUUCACCAUGCCGAACGGAGAGGAGGACUCCGACGACGAGCCACAAGGUGGAUCCGGCAUAGAGUGGUGGAGGCAAGUGGGUGUGCUGGUGGCAGACAACUGGUAGUGGCGGGCCAAGGUGGGGCGGCGGCUAGGGUUCUUCUCCUCCCUUUUUUGCUGAAAAUUGUUUAGGUUUGGGCUGGGCUUAGGGUUUUAGUCUGUUGGGCUAAAUUGGGUUUGGUUAGGGUUAGUUUAAGUUGGGCCAAAAUUGGGCCUCAACAUAUAAUAUAUUGGGUGAAAAUGUUAUGUUAUGUUUUAAAUUAAUACACCAUAUAUUUAGAGAUCUA
Long non-coding RNA from Gossypium arboreum, 498 nucleotides. RefSeq lists it as uncharacterized. The transcript is spliced from 2 exons. Lineage: Eukaryota; Viridiplantae; Streptophyta; Magnoliopsida; Malvales; Malvaceae. The record is from RefSeq and is a predicted model, not a curated record.